Molecule: ribosomal RNA, 403 nt
Filed under: uncultured prokaryote
Also listed under: 1 other name
Description: bacterial SSU rRNA
Rfam family: Bacterial small subunit ribosomal RNA
Source: RNAcentral
UGGGGAAUAUUGCACAAUGGAGGAAACUCUGAUGCAGCGACGUCGCGUGAAUGAUGAAGGUCUUCGGAUCGUAAAAUUCUGUCCUUGGGGACGAUAAUGACGGUACCCAAGGAGGAAGCCCCGGCUAACUACGUGCUAGCAGCCGCGGUAAUACGUAGGGGGCGAGCGUUGUCCGGAUUUAGUGGGCGUAAAGGGUUCGCAGGUGGCCUUUUAAGUCAGAUGUGAAAGAUCAAGGCUUAACUGUGGUAAGCAUUUGAAACUGGAAGACUUGAGUUAAGGAGAGGAAAGUGGAAUUCCUAGUGUAGCGGUGAAAUGCGUAGAUAUUAGGAGGAAUACCAGUGGCGAAGGCGACUUUCUGGACUUAUACUGACGCUGAGGAACGAAAGCGUGGGGAGCAAACAGG